Molecule: transfer-messenger RNA, 396 nt
Filed under: Candidatus Sericytochromatia
Lineage: Bacteria; Bacillati
Also listed under: 1 other name
Description: JACYMC01 sp015272195 Standard tmRNA
Rfam family: transfer-messenger RNA
About the family: Bacterial tmRNA, also known as 10Sa RNA or SsrA, is named for its dual tRNA and mRNA-like properties. Its role is to liberate the mRNA from a stalled ribosome. To accomplish this part of the tmRNA is used as a reading frame that ends in a translation stop signal.
Source: RNAcentral
GGGGAUGUAAAGGCUUCGACACGGAAUGUCAUGGCAAGAGCUGCGAGUCGGGAAUGUCGACGUACCCGUUAAACUAUCGGCGCUAAAUUAAACGCAAACAACAAGAAAAAACUGUUUGCUGUUCCUUCUCUGAAAACUGCUGCCCCCGUGGCGGUUGCUGCUUAGAGAAUGAGCACACCCACCGCGCUUUGCGCCACGGAGUAAGGUGGGUCUCUAAUACAGUGGCUGCCUGACGGGUCCAUGCUGAUAAGCCCGCCAGAAAGAUUUUCAGCUGGUCUGCCGAAACCCUGUCUGUGGGGCCGCCGGCAGAUGAGAUUUAAAACCGCAGACUAGACUUCGUAGACGCUUUUGUAGUGGGUUUCGUGGACGCGAGUUCGAUUCUCGCCAUCUCCACUU